AAUAUCUAAUAUAUUUAGACUUGGCUUAUCAUAUUAGAAAUGUAUUUUCAGUCCUUUUCUUUAUCAGUAGUCGGUUAUGCCCAACUAUUGGUGAUGCAGCGGUUAAAUCAUUUAAUAGUGUUGACACAAACUCCCAUUUUAUGAAUGGAGCACUCAUGGACUCAAAUGUUUCAUCAUUUGGAUUUUUGGGGCAGAUUCCUAUUGACUCAGAUAUUUAAUCAAUUUGAUUUUUGGGGCAUAUUUCUAGAAACUUCAGUGUUCUAGAUCUGACUGCUGAUCUUCUUCAGAGUUCUGAUUGAACAGCACCCCUAAAAUGAAGUGUCUGUAAAUAGAAGUUUAGAAGUUUGACAGACUAUGAAAUUCCAACUCUUCGGUUAACGCGUGUAUAUGAAUUCACUAACCAUAAUCUGUAAUGAAGGGAAAUUAAAUUUGAAAGGGUUUAUAUGUACUUAAAGAAUCAAGCAAUUCAUUCACAUACCAGUUGAGCCGCCUGCCACUGUGGAGGAUAACCAACUGCCAUCUUCAUGGCCUUCUAAGAGUUGGAGGUAACAUUACAUCCAUGUCUUAGAAUUUGGUUUUAAGGGCCUAGCUCAUGCCUAUCAAACACACUUGUGAGGAAACAAGACUACAAGGGUUUUCAACACUACCGUCAUGUAAACAAGUCGACACAUUGAUUGUCUUACAAAUCACAAUCUUUGUGUUCCAGGCCAACAGAUUGUGCUUCCUUCUGCUAAGGUGGCUACUACAGUCCUGAUAAGGCACUAUGAUUAUGUUGAUGAAUUUCCAUGAGGUACUUGAAGUUCAGGUUACAAAAAGUGAGAUCAAAUGAUUUUCAUGGAGACAGAUGGAGGAAUUGAAAACUUUGAUCCAAGUGAUUCCAAUUUGGCCCGCUGGAAUUCUUGGAGUGCAUGUGAUCUAAUUGAA
This is a long non-coding RNA of Vicia villosa (hairy vetch), 924 nucleotides long. RefSeq lists it as uncharacterized. The record is from RefSeq and is a predicted model, not a curated record. The transcript has 4 exons. NCBI's taxonomy places the organism in Eukaryota, Viridiplantae, Streptophyta, Magnoliopsida, Fabales, Fabaceae.